UAGAAAUGUACCACAAGUGAAAAAUUGUUAUGCAAACAUUAUUGUGGCUGUGAAUGACAUAUAUCCAAAUUAUAAUGUUCACUGUAACCUUUUCAAAAUGGGGGAUUGAACUGCUCUUUUAAGGCAAAUGAACUCACUCACCUUUGCAACUCCAAAUGCUAUAUGUCUCAGUCCUUAAAACCAGUGCGAAUAUUCUUAAACCACCACACAAUACCCUCAAUUGAUGCUUCCGAUCACUCCAACUACGGCUUGCGACCCGAACCCCAAAUUUGACAAAUAAAACACACAAAAAUGAGAUUAGGGUUUAGGAUUUUCACAAUUAAACAUUUACUAAGCAUUAGGGUUUACUUACAAGGUUCUCUUUCAACACCCAACUACGGCACCGCACCGAACAACUAGAUUAAAGAUUGAUGAACGACACACUUCGAGAGAUAGAGACGACGAACAACCAAAGCCACACCGAAGAGGGCUCGAGACAGCAACACCACAAAGAGGGCUCGACAGAGGGCUUUAAGAGAAACCGACAGGGAUCGACAAUGGGCUUUAAGAGAAAGCACCAGGGUUCGAUAGAGAAAAGAAAGCACGCCUCGCCAGGGUUCAGGAUGGUUCGAGAGAGAGAACAAACAUCGAUGAUGGUUCAAGAAAGAGGGCAAAGCUCCAGCUUCAGAAAUGAGAGAGUGAAUAUAGGUUCAGCUUCCACGUAAGCAGAAAUUCAUUUUUUAAAAAAAUAUAUUUCCUUAAUCUGUAUAUAAAUUCCGCAGAUAACACCUGCUUCAAACUAUAUACGGAUAACUUAUGUUAUAUACGGAUCCUAUCCUUGGAUAACUUUCCCGCCACCCCGCGCCAACAUUAUAUA
This 856-nucleotide long non-coding RNA is filed under the name Vigna radiata. RNAcentral's name for it is "long non-coding RNA (VRAD_LNC002684)". Lineage: Eukaryota; Viridiplantae; Streptophyta; Magnoliopsida; Fabales; Fabaceae. The record is from RNAcentral.